Molecule: ribosomal RNA, 316 nt
Filed under: SAR202 cluster bacterium
Lineage: Bacteria; Bacillati; Chloroflexota; Dehalococcoidia
Description: bacterial SSU rRNA
Rfam family: Bacterial small subunit ribosomal RNA
Source: RNAcentral
AUUUACGGAGAGUUUGAUCCUGGCUCAGGACGAACGUUGGCGGCACGCCUAAUGCAUGCAAGUCGAACGAGGUACCACCUUUAGGGGUGGAUACCUAGUGGCAGACGGCUGAGUAACACGUGAGUGAUCUGCCUUUGAGAGGGGGAUAACACAGGGAAACUUGUGCUAAUACCGCGUACGUUCCGUUUCAUAGACGAGGCGGAGGAAAUGGUGCCGGGUAACCGGUCACCGCUCAAAGAUGAGCUCGCGUCCUAUCAGGUAGUUGGUGGGGUAAUAGCCUACCAAGCCUAAGACGGGUAGCUGGUGUGAGAGCACG